UACGGAGGGGGCUAGCGUUGUUCGGAAUUACUGGGCGUAAAGCGCGCGCAGGCGGCUAUCCAAGUCAGUGGUGAAAGCCCGGAGCUCAACUCCGGAACUGCCAUUGAAACUGUUUAGCUUGAGGACGAGAGAGGUGAGUGGAAUUCCCAGUGUAGAGGUGAAAUUCGUAGAUAUUGGGAAGAACACCGGUGGCGAAGGCGGCUCACUGGCUCGUUUCUGACGCUCAGGCGCGAUAGCGUGGGGAUCAAACAGG
This 253-nucleotide ribosomal RNA is filed under the name uncultured bacterium. Its description in RNAcentral is "partial 16S ribosomal RNA". It matches the Rfam family "Bacterial small subunit ribosomal RNA", at positions 524 to 776 of the family's 1533-position model. The record is from RNAcentral.